Long non-coding RNA from Hemicordylus capensis (graceful crag lizard), 1814 nucleotides. RefSeq lists it as uncharacterized. The transcript has 3 exons. Lineage: Eukaryota; Metazoa; Chordata; Lepidosauria; Squamata; Cordylidae. The record is from RefSeq and is a predicted model, not a curated record.
UCAGGCAAAAUUCACUGAUAGCAGACAUGGGAGAUGCCAGUCUGGAGAGAGAAAAAUCAGAGCCUGCAGAAUUAUACAAAUAUAGGACAGCUCCAGAAAAUAUGUACGGGGGAAGCAGAUAUACUCAUAUAAAUGAAUAUCACAGAGAAAGGCACAGCAGACUAGACAAAUUGGACUUCAGAUAAACAAUGGCGUGGAUGGCUCUUCAUUUUCUUAUUUUCUCCCCUUUAAUGUUCACGAGCAUUAAGUCAAUAACACAAAGCAUCCAACAAAAGGGAUAUUGAGUUUCAUCUCCAAGUAAGAAGCUGUUGCAUAUUUUUCAUCUCCAGGUAAGAAACUAUAGCAUAUUAAGUGGGUCUCAGGAGUAAACAAGGUUUUUUUAGACUGAAGAAAAACAUUCGCACAGGGCCAAACCAAUGAAAGAUCUCUAAACUAUUGGUGGGGACAGAAUAUAGAGCCAAGGAAGUAGGAAACCUGUGAACAGAAAAUUGCAGUGUUUGAUGAGAGCUAUAUUCCAUGUGUUUAAUUUGAAAUAACCAGCUGAAUCAUAGUCUGCAGGUGCCUACUGCCAUCUUAGAGUUCCUUAAGGAGUAUUCUCUAGCACUUACUUUAUUAUUCUGUGUUUCUCUUUCCAAGUGCAUUACUCCAGGCAUCCUAUGACUUGUUUUCUACAGCUGAACAUUUUUAGUAGAAUUGAUUUCUUGGAUGUCUAGUGCAUCUUAAUUUGCAUAACUAAGUGCAUAACUCUACACAUUCCCAAAUUUAUUUAUUAUUAUUUUUUUUAAAUUCCUGCUGACAAAGUGGGAUUGCCCUGGGGAAGAUACAAUUCUAGCGUGAGAGAGAACAAUCUCCAAAACUGAUCAGCCUGCUUGCAAAUUCUUCAUGAUUUAAAUUGUGUAUGUCCAAAUGAUUGGUAAUAGAUACAUGAUUGCAUGUCUCUGACACACAAGGAUGGGCAACAUCUCAGAGGUAGAGCACAUGCAUGGAAGGAUUCAGGGGGCUCAGCCUCAGCUCUCCUCCAAAAUGAUCAUUGCGGGGGAGUGGUGGGGGAAACUAAAGGCAGACUCAAUCUUAGCAGUCGGCUGAGAGCCAGUGUGUGCAGUAGGAAAACUCUGUGGUAAGGAUGUGCAUUCGAAUUUGAAUCAAUUCAGCUCAAAACUGGGUGAUUUGAGUGAUUCAAAUUUGAAUCAAAUCACUCAUUAAAAGGGCAAUUAGAUUAGAAUUUUUAAAUUUUUGAUUUGAAUUUGAUUUGAGGGCUGUUUGGCACAUUUUUAAAACCAUUUUGGGGCCCUGACUGGUGAAAAAGGUGCCCAAACAGGCUUGAAUCGAUUAAAAUUCAAAACAAAUUUUCAAAAUCAAUUUGAACUUGAAAUGAAUUCUCAAAAUUUUGAUUUGAUUUGAAUUCAAAUCAAAUCUAAAAAUUUGAUUCAAAAUCCGAUGUGAUACACAUCCCUACUCUGUAGUCUUUACUCUGCCAUGAAGUUCAUGGGGCGACCUUUGAUCAGUUACCCUUUCUUGGCCUAACCUACCUAUCAGGAGGAUUGAAGGAAUAUAUAGAAUCAUUGUGGGGAAAGGAGCCUUGCACACUACCCUGAGAUCUCUAAAGGAAGAGAGGGGUAGAAAUGUAGCUUACAUUGUGGAUAUGGGCUAUAAAUCCUCCAUACUGUAUUAGAGCCAGAUUGGGACUGUAUGCUCAGGAAGCUGAGCAGAAAAGCCCAGAUCUGAGCAGUACAUGGGUGGCAGGUGUUACCCCUGCUUUCUUGUGCUGUCUGCUGUCCUGUUUUUUCCCCCCUUGUUGAGAGUGGAAAGGAUAU